RNAcentral lists this ribosomal RNA (467 nucleotides) under uncultured bacterium. RNAcentral's name for it is "partial 16S ribosomal RNA". It matches the Rfam family "Bacterial small subunit ribosomal RNA", at positions 28 to 506 of the family's 1533-position model. The record is from RNAcentral.
GACGAACGCUGGCGGCGUGCUUAACACAUGCAAGUCGAACGGAAAGGCCCUGCUUUUGUGGGGUGCUCGAGUGGCGAACGGGUGAGUAACACGUGAGUAACCUGCCCUUGACUUUGGGAUAACUUCAGGAAACUGGGGCUAAUACCGGAUAGGAGCUCCUGCUGCAUGGUGGGGGUUGGAAAGUUUCGGCGGUUGGGGAUGGACUCGCGGCUUAUCAGCUUGUUGGUGGGGUAGUGGCUUACCAAGGCUUUGACGGGUAGCCGGCCUGAGAGGGUGACCGGCCACAUGGGAACUGGGAAACGGCCCAGACUCCAAGGGGAGGCAGCAGGGGGGAAUAUUGCACAAUGGGCGGAAGCCUGAUGCAGCAACGCCGCGGGGGGGAUGACGGCCUUGGGGUUGUAAACCGCUUUCGCCUGUGACGAAGCGGGAGUGGCGGUAAUGGGUAAAGAAGCACCGGCUAACUACGU